UGGGGAAUAUUGCACAAUGGGCGAAAGCCUGAUGCAGCAACGCCGCGUGAGUGAUGAAGGUCUUCGGAUUGAAGCUCUGUCUUUGGGACGAUAAUGACGGUACCAAAGGAGGAAGCCACGGCUAACUACGUGCCAGCAGCCGCGGUAAUACGUAGGUGGCGAGCGUUGUCCGGAUUUACUGGGCGUAAAGGGUGCGUAGGCGGAUGUUUAAGUGAGAUGUGAAAUACCCGGGCUUAACUUGGGUGCUGCAUU
Molecule: ribosomal RNA, 252 nt
Filed under: uncultured bacterium
Lineage: Bacteria
Description: partial 16S ribosomal RNA
Rfam family: Bacterial small subunit ribosomal RNA
Source: RNAcentral